Molecule: microRNA, 23 nt
Filed under: Salmo salar (Atlantic salmon)
Lineage: Eukaryota; Metazoa; Chordata; Actinopteri; Salmoniformes; Salmonidae
Description: ssa-miR-194a-3p
Gene: ssa-miR-194a-3p
Source: miRBase by way of RNAcentral
CCAGUGGAGAUGCUGUUACCUGC